CCUCGAAUUGACAGAGAUCCGCCUGCCACUGCCUCCCCAGUGCUGGGACUAAAGGCGUGCGCUGCUGCCGCCGCCACCACCACCCGGCCAGACUUCAUUUUUGCAUAAUUGAGACUGAUUGUCCAUAUCAGGGAUCAGCAAAACCUUUUUCUAGAGACUCAGACAGUAGUGCCAACCCCUGCACUGGGGAGGCAGAGGCAGAAAGGUGUCUAUGAGUUCAAGGCCAGCCUGCUCUACAUAUCCAGGGCAGCCAGGGAUACAUAGUGAGGCCAUAUCACAAAAACAAAGAAAAGAAUCAGAUAGUAGCAGCUGGAGAGAUGGCUCAGUGGUUAAGAGCACUGGCUGUGCUUCCAGAGGACCUGGGUUCAAUUCCUGGAACCUGCAGGGGGGUUCAUGACAGUUGUGACUCUAGUUUUGGAGGAUCCGAUGCCCUCUUCUGUCCUCCAAGGAUGCCAGGCACAAAUGUGGUACACAGACAUGCAAGCAAAACACCUGUGCACACACACACAAAUGAAAGUCAGAUAGCACAUAUUUUAGUAUUAGUCGGCCCGCCAGUCUCUGUUGCAAUGACUCAGCUCUGCUGAUACCGACUGACCCUAGUCACACAUGAUGUGUAAAUGAAGGGUUUGUGUGUUCCAAACAAAACCGUUCACAUUACGAGGAGUGAAAGAGGGUCAGAGAAGGCGCAGGCGGGCCAUAGGGCACUUAUCUAGUACGUUCAAGAACCUGGAUUCCACACCCCUACCCCCACACUGAAAAGAAAGACAACCUUGCAACAGGCUUGAUUUCCCCCAGAACACUUCAUUGCAGGAGUAUUUCAUUAGCCUAUUUGUUUAAUUCAGAUGGCCAAAGAACAAAAUUUCUCUGUAUGUUUUGUUCAAAAUCUAAUUGGCUAUAAUUAGCGAGUCACAGUUUGAGAGCAUCCCAUCUCUGAAGCAGAAAGUGCUAGGCUGGUUGUGGUGUUGUACACCUUUAAUUCCAAUUCUCAGGAGACAGUGAUAGGAGGACUUGGAGUCUGAGGCUAGCCUGGGCUACUUAGCUAAUUCAGGGCUAGCAUGAGCCACAGAGAAAAGAAAGCAGGUGUGGCAUCUUCUGCCUGUAAUCCUAGCAUUUUAAGGAAUCUGAGGCAGGAGGAUUACUGUGACUUCAAGGCCAGCCAGGGUUACAGAAGCAAGGCCAUCUCCAGAAAAUAAAAACCAGAUCAAGACGGAGACAGAGGCAGAGAGCACACAAAGACACUCCACCAAACAGAGAGAAAUUAGGCUUCGAGGACAGAAAAGGACCAAAGGAAACAAAACAAGACAGGGUUUCUCUGUGUACCCCAGGCUGCCCUGAAACUCAGAGAUCCGCUUUCCUCUGUCUCCCAAGUGCUGGGACCAAAGGUGUGAGCCAACCACGCCUUUAAGUCAUUUCAAAGCCACCUGUCAUAGGUUUAAAGCUGAAUAGCGCCUCCUCCUGUUCAUUGCUGUGUUAACUUUUAAUCCGGCUUCUUUUGUAGCUCCUUUUCCUACCAAGGCCCCUAGCACACUUUCUACAGUCUGGUGGCAGGGGCGGGGGUGGGGUGGUGGGGUAGGGGUUUAAUGCAGCAGCUCGGGCCAGACAAUGACUCCCACAAAUUUCACUGAAGAUUAAAUCUGAUUUCAAGUCCCCACAAGCCAGGAUUUGUGUAAGAGUCCAAGGGCAAGCCAGGAGGUGGCGCACGCCUUUAAUCCCAGCACUCAGGAGGGAGAGCCAGGAGGAUCUCUGUGAGUUCGAGGCCAGCCUGGUCUACAGAGACCGUUGGUUCUAGGAUAGGGCUACACAGAGAAACCUUGUCUUGAGAGCCUCAGGCACCGCUUCUGGUCCUCCAUCUCUCUGAGAGGCCCCAGGCACUGGCUACAACCACCACCUGCCAGUCCAUCCCGUUAUCACAGCCUGGAAAGACUCCUCUCUCCCCGGGGCUGGGACACUCAGGGACACUCCAGCUUCUGUCUUUGUGAAAUUAAGCCUUGAUUCAAUAAUAAAAACCUCCUAAGGGAGGCAGGUCCCCAGGACAUGUCCCUGUGUGCCCUCGCUGUCUUAAGGCGACAUGCAGGAAAAGACUCAGCCUCUUCCUAAAUAAGGUCACUCUGCCCUUUGUUUAUGCGGCAUUGUAUUACACUCUUGUCUUCACUCCCCCAGGAUCCUUUAAAAAGGAAAUGCUGAUGGCUGCCAAGCGGCCUGGGUCCCUGGGUCGGAGGGAUCAUUAUUUAUCCAGCCACCCUGUUCUCCUCGGGCAUUCAGGGCUGCUGCUAAGCUCUUCAGUGGUUGCGAAUGGAGCAGAUGUGUAGCACCAACCACCACUGGUUUUAGGGCCGAGGAGGCGAUGGUGCAGCUGUGAAGAUCUUGCUGCCAGGCCUGAAGCCCUGAGCCCACUCCCCAGAGCUCACAUGGUGGAGGAAACGACUCCUAAGGGAAAGGGACCAUGGUAGGAACGCUUCCCAGUGAGGAGCUGCAGAUGGUGAAGCUGUAUGCUCAUCGGAUCCCUGGGCAACUCUGGAGUUGAGCCUACUUCCCUGCUUCCCCCGAGAAAAUAAAAAUAAUGUCACGAACCUGUGAUGAAAUUC
Peromyscus maniculatus bairdii (prairie deer mouse) is the source of this 2585-nucleotide non-coding RNA. The record is from RefSeq and is a predicted model, not a curated record. Lineage: Eukaryota; Metazoa; Chordata; Mammalia; Rodentia; Cricetidae.